RNAcentral lists this ribosomal RNA (479 nucleotides) under uncultured bacterium. RNAcentral's name for it is "partial 16S ribosomal RNA". It matches the Rfam family "Bacterial small subunit ribosomal RNA", at positions 356 to 827 of the family's 1533-position model. The record is from RNAcentral.
AGGGAAUCUUCCACAAUGGACGCAAGUCUGAUGGAGCAACGCCGCGUGAGUGAAGAAGGCUUUCGGGUCGUAAAACUCUGUUGUUGGAGAAGAAUGGUCGGCAGAGUAACUGUUGUCGGCGUGACGGUAUCCAACCAGAAAGCCACGGCUAACUACGUGCCAGCAGCCGCGGUAAUACGUAGGUGGCAAGCGUUAUCCGGAUUUAUUGGGCGUAAAGCGAGCGCAGGCGGUUUUUUAAGUCUGAUGUGAAAGCCCUCGGCUUAACCGAGGAAGCGCAUCGGAAACUGGGAAACUUGAGUGCAGAAGAGGACAGUGGAACUCCAUGUGUAGCGGUGAAAUGCGUAGAUAUAUGGAAGAACACCAGUGGCGAAGGCGGCUGUCUGGUCUGUAACUGACGCUGAGGCUCGAAAGCAUGGGUAGCGAACAGGAUUAGAUACCCUGGUAGUCCAUGCCGUAAACGAUGAAUGCUAGGUGUUGGA